ACGUCGUAACAAGGUUUCCGUAGGUGAACCUGCGGAAGGAUCAUUG
RNAcentral lists this ribosomal RNA (46 nucleotides) under Narthecium californicum. RNAcentral's name for it is "partial 18S ribosomal RNA". It matches the Rfam family "Eukaryotic small subunit ribosomal RNA", at positions 1786 to 1831 of the family's 1831-position model. Lineage: Eukaryota; Viridiplantae; Streptophyta; Magnoliopsida; Dioscoreales; Nartheciaceae. The record is from RNAcentral.